AAUCUUCUGUGAAAUUGCAACAGUGAUCGCUAACGUCAUCACUGAGCGAAAGUACAAACUAACUACCGAGAGCCUACUCUUUUUAUGCAACAGAGGCUGCACUGCACAGUCGCGCAGUUAUCUUGGUCGCGCUGAGGCUAAUCGGUUGUUCAAAUAUUCGGUGUCUGAUCUCCUUUGGAACAGAAAUUACAACUUUCGACCAGAUUGAUAAAGAUGGAAACGCCCAUCGAAGCAUCUUGAAAUGGUCGCAGUGGGUGUCCAUCGGGUGUGACAAGUGGCUUGUAGGCUUCCUUCGGUGAUUUUUUCAAGUACAAAAUAGCGUACGAAGCGAUCAGAGUAAGGCUGAGGCGACGGAGGAGCAGCCACCACCACCACCACCGGUUGGUUUAUAUGCCUGCGGAAGAGGGUCCACCACCACCGCGUAGCGCACCGCGUAGCGCUGCGAUAUAGGUACACCACCUGAGCGUUCGAGCGAACGGUGGGUAGGACACACACGGGAUGGAAAGAAAACGGCCAUGGAAAAAGAGGGAGAGGAGAAGAACGGGGGGAUACGGGGGGGGGGGGGAGAGGGAGAGGGACGGAGAAGCUGUCGCUCGAAGAGGAGAAGGUGUCUCACAUGGGUGCCUCGCUGUUCCCAAAGAUGGGGGAGACAUCCUGGCAGCUGACUGAAACUUACUGACUUUAUAGUUCAAACCGACGUUGUACGUAUCCUUCCCGCGCUCCUCUGCCAAACGACCCGCGCUAUACGGCGGAUCGUUCCUUUUUAUUAGGCCGGGGGGAUCGGGGUACCGAACCACAGCGAUAUGGAACAGACGAGUGAUCAACCUUGGAGAGGAUCGGAAAAUCGCCGAUCGAUUCCGAUUACGGUGGCUAAACGUCGACUCGCUUCGGAAGCGUUCGUUAAACUUUUUUCAGGGAUCGCCCGAGGUCGGAGAUAAUUUUUUUCAAGGAGUCGAGAUGUUAAUUGCGCGUUUCGUUUAAGUUGUUCGUUUUCAACUUACGGGCGAGAGGCUGACGUAAAUUACUGUGGAUACCUCGGGCGUAUUGUACCUCGAAAAUAUAUAUAUCUGAACCUCGCGAUGUCGGAUGUUGUAAGCCAUGGCCAAGUCGGUUCACCGGAUUUUAAACCGGAAGUCCAUUUCUGACCAGAGUAACCACUUAAGAUCCCCACUUCCUGGGGUCCCCGAGGAUUGAAAAAUAAGUCUUAUCUGGAGAGAAAAGAACGGAAAAAUAAGAAGCAAAUAAAAAAAGAAAAAAAGAAAAAAGGAGAAUUCUUACCCACUUGUUUACCGAUUCGUCUGAAAAUGAAAAAUAUGUGAAAAUCGAGAUACUUUGGCGUCUUGUUUUUAUCGGAGUUAUCCACGAUCUGUGGUUUGGCUUUCGAGUAAAAUAUAUGAAGGAUAAAGGUUUCCGGCGAGCUGUCGGCUAUAUAACAUGACACGCACCUCUAUACACGCGGGACACGCUAGAAAAACAAGUGUGACCAAAUAAUAAUUAUAACAAUGAUAAUUGAGAAUUGAAAAUGCGAGAGACGAAAAACUUGGCUGUAUAUAUAUAUAUACAUAUAUAUAUAUAAGCGGAUAGACUUUUCCGUGGGAUCAGAGUGGAAAGGUGACCUUGACUUUUUAGUUUAAUUCCGAUCUGCGGAGGGACUUCUAUUGACGUCAUCGGCCGCAUAACGGGUGGAUGAAUAAAUAGGAUCGUAGUCGAUGUUCGCGACCCCGGCGAGACUAAUUGAGAAGGCGUUCUGCUCGGCAAAUGGAAUAUACAAUGCCAUUAAAUUUCACAUUUAUCUUUACGUAAUUGAGCCAACCGGCAGUUUUCUCGACUACAAGAUAUAGUAUGUAUACCAGAAGUAUAAUACGCGCGUAAGCUGUACAUAACAAUCUCGUUCCCCGCCAACCGCCGCUCAUUGUUAGCUAUUCUCGCAUAGUUAUAUUGUAACGUAUACGUAAAUAUUUCUCGGAAACUAUUUUCGACGUUCAUUUUUAUCAAUAAUAACCACGAUCGUCCAUCUUCGAUUCGGACCUCGGAAAAUUUCAGAAAAACUUUCCAACCCGAGAUCAUUUUUAAUCACCCGAUCGCCCCGCGUCGCUCCGCGUCCACGCGAUUAACGCCCGUCCAUGAUAUUAUACCUCUGAAAAUCGAGUACCUACGUCGACCACGCGAUCAUCUCCUUCCUCGGCGAGCGAACAAAAGUUUCCCCUGUUUCAUUUCCUCUUCCUCUCCCGCCCUCUCCUCGUUACCAUCAUUCCACUCCAACGGACCGUCUUGAUCCUUCGGCGCACAUUUUUCUGAAUAUAAUUUCGUCAAAAAAAGGUGAGGAAUGACGGGACGUACUCGUCACGUCGGCGUCUCGAAGAGAACGAAAGAAAAACGGGAGGUGGGCGAUAACCGGGCGCGGGUUUUUUUUUUCUCAAAACUUCUGGAAGAACCCUACGCCGCGAUCUAGAGUCGCGGGAAUUCUGACGGUAGAACACGUACACGCGUGUACGGUGUAAGGUGGGCGUCGGGAGGAACGGUAGAGAGAGAGAGAGAGAGAGAGAGAGAGAGACUGCUGCAGGGAGACGUCCGUCGGAGGGACCCGCAGGAGGAUAGAAUAGAGGAAGUGCACGCGCUGAGCCGUGACUCGCUCCGCUGGCAGCAACAGAUACGAAAGUUCUCCCCUUCUGCCCGGAAGUGCUCCGGCUAUCUUUGUCGGUCCGUUGUCCCCUCGCGGCCACGGGUCUGCUGCACGUUCGUGGCGCCGUAUGUCCGUGCGCCCUUUUACAACGUAUAGGGCGCAUACGUACGAGUCGUAGGUACGCGCGCACCUACACCCCUACCGCCGCUCAACUUCCAUCCAUCCUUCGUGCGUUCGUACGUUCGCUCGUCUGUAUCACCUGCGCAACGUCGAGUCCAGCAGCAGCCGCAGCGGCAGCAGCAGCAGCAGCAAUAGCGGAGGUACGACGGAUACAUGCGGUGCGCUCGCUCGCGCGCCCGCGCGUGUGUGAGUUUUAUACACACUCAGGUAACCACCUGCUAAACAUUCGCUCGGCUACGGUGCGCCCGGGGAACGGCGACGGCGGCGGGUAACUCGUUGCUAUAAUUUCAUAGAAAAUUACCCUUGGAAAUUCGUUUUGUCGCGGCAUCGA
This is a long non-coding RNA of Athalia rosae (coleseed sawfly), 3134 nucleotides long. RefSeq lists it as uncharacterized. The record is from RefSeq and is a predicted model, not a curated record. The transcript has 3 exons. NCBI's taxonomy places the organism in Eukaryota, Metazoa, Arthropoda, Insecta, Hymenoptera, Athaliidae.